RNAcentral lists this long non-coding RNA (2005 nucleotides) under Homo sapiens (human). RNAcentral describes it as "non-protein coding lnc-RNF113B-2:1". The record is from RNAcentral. Lineage: Eukaryota; Metazoa; Chordata; Mammalia; Primates; Hominidae.
GCUUAUGUCUUUACUGAUGGUUCUGUCAAACUACAACUCCAGAGUUAUAAGGUUGCCUCUCAUUACAGAAGUGUCAAUUAGAUUUAAGACAAUUUUACUUUUCUUUAAAGAUACAGCAUUUAAAAAAUACUCCAAAUUGAGUUAUGCCAAAGUUUCUAACACUUGUGCGUGUAACUUGUUACAAAAUUCCCAGAAAACGUAAGAGCCACACACAUUUUUCCCCUCCAGAAAUAGCUUGCAUUUAUAAACAAUAUAUAUCACUUGCUGACAUGCAAGACCCCUAAAUUUGGUACAAAAGCCAAGAAAAAACUCCAUGGAUUUUCAUCUUGCAUAGACAGAAUGAGGUAUUAAAAAUGCUUCUGCAGGUCCUUUCAAAGAAUUGUUAGUUCAUGGUACAUCUCACAGUUAGUUCUGAGCUCUGGGUUUCAGAAUCAUGUCACACUAACAGCAUUUACUACCAACCUUCCCUAUUAACUUGAUUCAACUCCAAUUACCUCUUUGCUUUUCUGCUUUUAUCAUUAAACUGGAAGGUAGGAGGUUCUUGCUCCCAAAGUGCUUAGCAUAGUGCCCAGCAAACACUAGGUUCUCCCAAAAAACAUCUUCUGACCACACUGUCAUCUGAAAUUCUGCAGGUGUGCCAUGAUUUUAACAUGUUUCUUUUCUGCAAGUGUAGUAAUAAAGUGUAGUAAUAAUUUAAAUUAAAAAAAGCCUACAUUGCUCUAGCUGAUUGGCAUCAGUACAUGAAUCGGCUUUGCAGAUGCUACAUAAGAAAGCAGAAAGGGGUUGUCUUGACACACUUUUUACUCCAAUUCCCAUUUUUUUCUCCCAAGGAAUACAGGCUAUAAAGCUCCAAAUAUUACCACACAUUACAAGAGCCCACAGGUAUUCAUCCACUGAACACAAGGACUGCGCAGGUGGAGUCAUUUAAUAUGCUGCUUUGCUAGAUUCGGAAGCCUCCGGGCAAUGGUGUUGUGCUGCAAACGUAAAAUAUAUUUGAAGGGCAUCUGCUAACAAGGAAACCAUCUGUAUGUAAUCCAUUCUAUUUUCUAUUCCAUUUCAGAUUUAGUUUUAAUAAAGUAAUACAAAUCAUUUAAAGAAAAAACCUUUAAUUUAAAAUUCUGAUCUAUGCAUAAAAUUCAUUUUUAUAUCACGGUUAAAUUUAGUACAAACUAUAAAAAUGUUAACACUGAAGUUUUCAACAGAAGUCUAUUAAGAUGCCUUAGAAAAAUUAAACAACAGCAAGUCAUUUACUGCUAUGAGGUUAAUACAUAAAGAAACAUUCACACAUUUUACUGAAAUUUUCAGUAAAUAACUUUAGCCAUAACACUUAUAAUUAAAAGUUCAAAAGUUGUGUGUGGCUCUACAGCAAUUAUAAUUUGCAAUGAAAACACUAAGCCAAAUCUUUUUGAGCUGAUCAGAACAAUCUUAGCUACAAAAUUGGCUGAAAUUUGCAAACCUUAAAAAGAACACCAAUUGUGAAUGGAAUAGGUAUCAUAACUUAGCUUAAAGUGGAAGAUGGUAAAAACUCGAUGCUUAAGUCUGAAUUGCACAAGGAAAAUAUUAGGGGAAAAAACACUCAGCUAUUACUGAUAGCUAUUACUUUAAAAAAAUAUUAGAUCAUUCUUAUAUUAAAAACAUGAAAUGAAUCCAAGCCAGACAGUACUGAGUUUUUACACAAGCCUCUUUUGUAUUCAAUGUUGUUUAUUGAGGAGUGAAUGAGAGACUACUGCCAGACAUGCCAAUGACACUUCACAUUCAAGGGCUGGAAGCUGGAAAGCUUCCCGACUGAGUCACUGUAUAAGCCUUCUGGGAAAAAGAACCAAAGUGACAUCAAAUAUGCCAUCUUCAUGCUUGUUGUCUGUCAUCAGUUUUUUUCAACUUUUGGGUCUACUGGUUUGCUGGGUAGGAGGCUUCUUUCUACCCUACAGAAAGACUCACACUCCCAAUUCACAAUGAACACUGAAUGCAGAGCAAUUUGUGUGAACACACAUCUACGCUGAGUAAC